RNAcentral lists this ribosomal RNA (253 nucleotides) under uncultured bacterium. Its description in RNAcentral is "partial 16S ribosomal RNA". It matches the Rfam family "Bacterial small subunit ribosomal RNA", at positions 524 to 776 of the family's 1533-position model. The record is from RNAcentral.
UACGUAGGGUGCGAGCGUUGUCCGGAAUUACUGGGCGUAAAGAGCUUGUAGGUGGUUUGUCGCGUUGUUCGUGAAAUCUCACGGCUUAACUGUGAGCGUCCGGGCGAUGCGGGCAGACUAGAGUACUGCAGGGGAGACUGGAAUUCCUGGUGUAGCGGUGGAAUGCGCAGAUAUCAGGAGGAACACCGGUGGCGAAGGCGGGUCUCUGGGCAGUAACUGACGCUGAGAAGCGAAAGCGUGGGGAGCGAACAGG